AUUGAACGCUGGCGGCAUGCCUUACACAUGCAAGUCGAACGGCAGCGCGGACUUCGGUCUGGCGGCGAGUGGCGAACGGGUGAGUAAUACAUCGGAACGUACCUGUUGUGGGGAUAACUAGUCGAAAGAUUAGCUAAUACCGCAUACGACCUGAGGGUGAAAGUGGGGACCGCAAGGCCUCACGCAGCAGGAGCGGCCGAUGUCUGAUUAGCUAGUUGGUGGGGUAAAGGCCCACCAAAGGCGACGAUCAGUAGCUGGUCUGAGAGGACGAUCAGCCACACUGGGACUGAGACACGGCCCAAGACUCCUACGGGAGGCAGCAGUGGGAAUUUGGACAAUGGGGGCAACCUGAUCCAGCAAUGCCGCGUUGUGUGAAAG
This 378-nucleotide ribosomal RNA is filed under the name uncultured bacterium. RNAcentral's name for it is "bacterial SSU rRNA". It matches the Rfam family "Bacterial small subunit ribosomal RNA", at positions 30 to 414 of the family's 1533-position model. The record is from RNAcentral.